AAAAAGAAAACGGAGGAAGGGGCCACCAGCCAAGGAAUGAGGACAGCCUUCAGAACCUGGAAAAGUCUCCCACAGACCCCCCAAAAGGAGCACACCCCUCCCUGCAAUGGAUUCCAGCUCACUAGUGGGCCCACCGUUGGUCUCUGACCCAGCAGCACUAGAAGGCCUCCGUUUCUUGCCUAUAUUAUGGGAUGCAGGACGAGAUGACCUCCGAGACCACCCCUGGCCUUAACGUUCUGCAUGUCUGUGAUUGGGCCUCAGCGUUCAUCUUCCUCCUGGAUCUUUGAUUCAAUCGGGAUGAGUCAGGCACUGACAGCCGCCUUGGGCCCUGAGCGCCUGCUCGGAGAGCAGUGCCAGGGCCCAGAAGAUCAGCUCAGAUCCUUGCUGGGUCACAUGCGUGGGUGUCAGCACUUCCUGCCUAGACUUUUCCCUUUGACUCAUGCUUCUCUUGUGUUCGGGAUCCCUGUUCCUCAGCCUUGUUCAUCUGGAAAGGAAGGAGCAUGUGCCAAAAUAAUGAUAAGGAGUCGAAUACAGCAGCCACGGUGGCAAAUGCCUCUAAUCUCCCCGGUUCCGGAAGCUGAGGCAGGAGGAUCCAAGUUCCAACUUAGCAAGACCCUAUCUCAAGGGCAAUGAGAGCCUGCAUCUACACAGACCAGAGCAGCAGCAUUCAGCAGCGGGUGAGCAGUAGCCCAAGGGAGGCAGGGCGGUCCGCAGGGCCAGGACCAACACCCUGCAAAGCCUUACGGUGCAGACCGCGCUGCGACCAGGAGAGACUGCAGACAUCAUGUCUCGAAAUGGAUGCACCUCAGGAUAACUUGACUGAGGAAGAGAAGCCAGACCAAAUAAAGACAAGGAGAGCCGACAUGGCUGGGCACACCUGUAAUCGUAGCAUUCUGAGAGGCUGAGGCAGGAGGACUGCAAGUUUGAGCCCAAUCUGGGGAAUUCAGCGAUUUAGUGAGACCCUGUCUCAAAAUUUAAAACAUACACCGCGCGCCCACACACACACACACACACACACACACACAAGGGCUGGGGCUAUGGCUCAGGGUGGAGGCUCUGGGUUCAACCCCAGCACUGAGAGG
This 1082-nucleotide long non-coding RNA is filed under the name Heterocephalus glaber (naked mole-rat). RNAcentral's name for it is "lncRNA (ENSHGLG00000033974.1)". The record is from RNAcentral. Lineage: Eukaryota; Metazoa; Chordata; Mammalia; Rodentia; Bathyergidae.